UGGAUGAAGAGGUUAUGGUUGGGGCACGGUGGCGGGCUUCGUUUCGCAAAUAGUCAAUAGUAAUGGGCGUGUUACAGCAAAAGUGGCCAAGGCAGAGCUGGCCACCUGGAUCUGGACGGCACAGGAGAGAUCGGACGGCGUCCGAUGGCCAGAGUGCAGAGUACCUAGAGCUGGCCGAGUUCAUAUAAGACGCAGCAACCAUGCCCGAUCCCUUCCUCACUCCCUCUCCUACCCAAAGCUCCAGUGGGGUUCCGACUCCAUGCGGCUCUGAAAUCUCCCAUACAUCCUGUGCCACCGCUACGCUCUGGAGCUGCCGCCCUGCUGUGGCUCGGCGUCGCCACCACCGCACCGCCUCUCGCCGGCCACCCCCGCGGUCCCCGUUGUACCUCAUGGAGUCGCAGCUGCCUCCACCCCGACGGCGGUCUUGGACACUGGUAUUCGAGAUAGAGAGGACGAGCUGCAAGGCGGCCAAGCCUCGCGGGCAGGAGGAGUUGGACACACAUGGAGAGUGCAGACCGAGAGGAUUCUGGCCACGGGGAGCACCGUCGGCGCGGAUUCACCCAUAGCAAAAAUAUGGUGUUAUCCUGAUUGAGCUUUUCUUCUAGCCACCAUCCUCCCCCUUCGCUUCCUCUUCUCACCCCGUUGUUUGGGUCUUCUUGACCUUGCAAGACCUUUUCUUGACCUUGUAAGACCCAACAAUAUCACGUUUUCUCCCACACUCUUCAUCUUCUUGUUCCACCUUCUUUUCCUUGCCAUGUUCCUUUCCACCCCUCUCUCUUCCAUCUUUCUUCCAUCUAUCCCUCCUGAGCUAUAUUUUUUUAUAGUUGCAUUUCUUAUAUUCAAAGUAUUGGGAACAAGAUGAUACAUGGAGUGACAAGUGAAGGAGAUUCUACCUCCUUUGUCAUACGAUGUGUGUAGAUUCAUCAUUUCCACGUUGUAUUUUCCUUCUUUUGUUUCGGUUGUAGAGAGUACAGUUGAUGAGAUACAAAAGCACAGUCCUUGUUGCCGUAAUGCUCAUGCACGUGGAGUAGGAGCCUACAUGUAAUUGAGCAUGUUUAUGUGUGCCAACGUUGUAAUAAGUUUGCUAUUCCUGCUUGAAUAGAAACAUUCUGAUGCUGUGGUACUGUUGA
Long non-coding RNA from Triticum aestivum (bread wheat), 1130 nucleotides. RefSeq lists it as uncharacterized. The transcript has 2 exons. The record is from RefSeq and is a predicted model, not a curated record. Lineage: Eukaryota; Viridiplantae; Streptophyta; Magnoliopsida; Poales; Poaceae.